GGUUCAAAGGUUCGAGCUCGGACCAAAGAGGGGAUUGCAUUGGCAAUGCCGGUCCAAGUUUGAACCGAUCGAGCCCAGCUUGGUUAAAGCCUGUUCAAGCCAGUUCGAAGGUUCUAGUGGCCAUUUUAGAUCUUGUCCUCCAUUUUGUGUGACUUGUUUUGCUUGAUUUCAUAGGCUGAGCUCUUGCUUCCCUGAUUGGCCAGAUAAGUCUGGUUCUCUGGUAGGCUGUGCACUGUUCCAGUCCUUGAGAACUGGCACUCUACUGGCCAGGGGGGAGGGCAAAGGUGGGGGCUCCCAAAGGAGGGAGUUUCAAUCUUAUUUAAAGCCAAGCCUCUGGCCUGGCAAAAUUAUUCUGACCACAGUCUUCCUGGGCUUCCUUCUGGCCUGCUGUAGCUGUGCUGGUGUGGAGGACUUCUCCAUUCAUAAGCAGGACUGUGUGUGCCCUUAUUUGCUGUGACCUCUGAGUUCAGGGAAUACUACAGACGUUGAGGAGACAAAUCUGAGCCCCACCCCAUGCCAAGUGUCCUAAUAAAAUAUCAUGAGGAAAGUCGAGCCAGGAUCAGUGGUGUCCGCCCAUGGACAAGGACAUUAAUCAAAGCUGUGAAUUCUCUUGGGAAAGAAAUAGGGUGAGGAGAAGGAAGAGGGAAAUAUGUGCCAGUGAAGAACACAUAAAGUGAGGCUGAUCCAAGGGCAUCUGCAUAAUCAAGGAUCUCAAGACUUGAACCAGGAAUCUCAAAGGCUGGAUUCUAGCCUAGGUCUGUGGAUUCAAUUUUCAGAGUCUGCUUCAAGCUCAAGAGGGAAUAUUUUGUACAAUACCUGCCCUUGCAAUUGACUGUCAGUAUGAAGACUCUGGAUCGGUGAGCUCUGUUGUAAACAGAGGCAUUCCUUCCACUUGUUGCGCUUUGGGCUCUUCAGAGCAUGAGCCUCUGAUUUCAGGGACACUGAGCUAAAAUCUAAGGUCCCACUAUGCACUCCUGUGUUUUGGAGUGUUGGCAGAGGGAUGAUCAGAUGAACAUCCCUACAGGUGAUAAAAGGACAUGCGGAUAACAUGUCAGAUCAUCCUUCAGUGAUGUCAGGGCAGGCAAGUACUCAUCACAGCCCCAACAUUAUCAUGUGUAGGGGGUCUGUGAUCCAUCCCACUAUGAUGCAGGCAGAGGAAUGCAAAUCCAGAUGAACAUCUGCAUCCAUGUCAGGCUGAAUCUCCCUCACUGAGUUGAGGCAAGUGGCCACAAACUGAUGACAAAUAGAAAAAAAAUAUUCUCCAUUUCAGUUUGCACUUGCUGGAAAUUUCAUAAUCCUACCAAUUCUUUUUUUUAAAAAAUGAGUAUUCCACACCCCAAAAGAAAAAAGAAAAACCCUAACUUAUCUACUGUGGGUUGAUAUAAUUAAUUAAAGGUUUGGCUUUGACAUUG
This is a long non-coding RNA of Hemicordylus capensis (graceful crag lizard), 1412 nucleotides long. RefSeq lists it as uncharacterized. The record is from RefSeq and is a predicted model, not a curated record. Lineage: Eukaryota; Metazoa; Chordata; Lepidosauria; Squamata; Cordylidae. The transcript has 3 exons.